RNAcentral lists this long non-coding RNA (10153 nucleotides) under Equus caballus (horse). RNAcentral's name for it is "lncRNA (ENSECAG00000057533.1)". The record is from RNAcentral. Lineage: Eukaryota; Metazoa; Chordata; Mammalia; Perissodactyla; Equidae.
CAAGGUCAGAAAUUAAUUGGAGACACUGCAAAACACACAGCCUGUAAUAUUUCAGUUCAGUGAGGUCACAAGAAAAACUCAGUUAAAGCCUUAUUAGAGCAGUUUACAGGAGCACAUUACUGCGAAUAUGAAAUGAGAGUCUUGUCUUGAUGGAUGCGUCACCUACCCAAGAUAUUUGUUGAGAAUAAUUUGAAAAUCACCCCCGUACAUGGUUGUAUAUUCUUCGUUGUGGGUCCUUCUAGUUGUGGCAUGUGGGACGCUGCCUCAGCGUGGUUUGACGAGCAGUGCCAUGUCCGCGCCCAGGAUUCGAACCAACGAAACACUGGGCCGCCUGCAGCGGAGCGCGCGAACUUAACCACUCGGCCACGGGGCCAGCCCCUGCAAUUAAUAUUUUUAUCCGGCCCAAGAAUCCUCUACCUACGGCUGGCAGAUGAAGAAAAGAAAUCGGAGGAGGCACACUGUCUACAGGCGGAGAACCGGACGGUGGCCCCCCACAAACCCACUGGGACUCCUGGUGCUAGCACCUCCGGUUUGACAGCCUGAUGCUCAUUUCCUCCGUCUCUGACCCUGUCAUGGAAUCUAACUCAGGCUGCCGAUGUUUCUUACUGCUCUCACUUCCUGUUUGCUACUCAGUAUUGUACCACAUCCUGAUUUCUAUGUUUUCACCUCAGCCUCGUAACCUAAAAAUAACUUUUCUCUGAUGCCCUCCUGGCUUUCUAGGGUUUAAAGUUCUGCCCCACACUCUGACUAAAUAAGUGCACUGCAGCUCCCCAUCAGGAGUAAUGCAUUGAAAUGGAGUAACAGAAAUGAAACACAACAUUCUCCUUUUGUAAAACAGAGCCGUAGGAAUGCUUCCUGGUAUCUAAUACAUUUGGUCGGUCAUGAUAUCACACAGCCGUAUUUCAUAAAAGCCUUUUAUCCAUACCUUUUAGUUAGUGCAUUGACAACAAAAUUUGGUUUAUCCCCCCUACUAUAUUUGUUUAAUCUUUUUUGUCCCCUAUCUACCUUGUAUUGACCAUUACUAAAUGUCAUCUUUUCUAGAUUAACCAAUUUUCUUAGUCAUCUUGUAUAUUAUUCCUGGUUUCUAGAACAGUAACAUUGUUACUUAGUUUAGUAAUAUUUACAAAUUUGUUGAGCAAAUUCUCGGUUAUAUUUUCUAUUAGAUUUAUUCAUUGAAAUUACCAUGAAUUAGAUCAGUACAUCUGCCUAAAGUCUGGAGAAGAUCAAUUAUAUUAAAUAUUUCAAAUAUUUGAAAAUUGGAUUGGAAGAUCUUUCAAUAAUACUAAAAUAUUCUCUCUCUAGAAAUAUAUCUGAGUUACAUCCCAUCAGAGACUUAAAUUCAGACUAGACAAGACAUAAGAAAUGUUAUUUAAAGAAUAUUCUUUUAUUACAUAUAAGAUUAAGUUAACUGACAUAUGAUGUGCUUUUUGUUUUCCACUUUGUGAUUUUAUGAUCCUUUAUUUACAAGGUCUAUAGGAUUUUCAGCCUGAAUGCAAUUCAUUUGUUUGCAUCCAAGUUAUUCUCCUAUUUACACACAGGAGUUUCCAUCCUAAUGCUGAUUUAAUAUUCUUUUUAAAUAUCAUGUUAAAAUCUCAAGGAUAUAAAGGAAAAUAGAUGUAAUAUUUUAAUGCUGGUUUAUGUCCAUAUUCCACUUGAAAUGUAUAUGGAAAGCACAAGAAAAUAGCUCCUUUCACUUCAGAAUGUUUGCCAUGUCUUUGAUAAGAAAACAAGAAGUCGAACUGCAUGCUGGGAUGUUCUGUCUUGAAAACAGUCCAUGUUUUCAUCCAAGGAAUCAUCUGAAGAGACACACAGACAGCUGCAGACUCGUCCCAUAGCUAAGAGUCUUCCAGAGAAUCCUAUGAAGCCACUGCCACAGUCCAUGGGGAAAUGGCUGACCUCUGACCCCGCCUGACAGCCAGUACUCUUGUUAUCCUGCUGUGCAACAAGUCAAAUUAGGCUAUAAUUACUCUGCAGACAACAGGCUGCAAUUAUACAUUCAAGUCUCAGGGUCUGGAAGGAGGGAGAUUGUGGCUGGAAGGGGAUGAGGAGAAGUCAAAAAGUCACAAGACAAACCACUUUUUCAUAUUUUUCUCUAAAAAAGCAUAGCUGUAAUGUGUGCUCCUUAAGAGGAGGAUCAAACCACAGUGGACAGCAACCAUUCUCUUACUCAAAACACCAUGAAGACAUUGCUUUCAAGGACUCUAAUAGAUGGAUACACCAAAGGCUAUGUGACUAUCUAAUAAAUAAAAGGAAGGAAACUCUGUGGUUCCCAGACGUUCCUGUGCAGAUGCUGUUUACUAUUACUGAUUCAUUUUAAUUCAACAAAAAAUUAAUAAACAAUAAUUAGGGACCAGAUUGGGACUGGGAGAAAUAAGAUAUGCACUUAAUAUUUUUCAGUUAUGUUUUAAGAACUACUUUGUUUUCAUUUUUUAAUUUAUAUAAAGUCUAGGUAUGAAGAAAUUUUCAUUAAAGCAGACCACAGUAUUCCGGAAAAAUAUUUCUAAAACCCUAUCUUUAAAUAUGCAAAAUGUUUUACAACAGCAAAUUAUGUAGGUUGAACAGCAUAGAACUGCCCAUAGAAGUCAGUCUGCACUGGCUGCCUUUGAGAUUGUCUGCAAAACUGUCAGCACUUCUGCUCUCCCUAGCCAAGGUUGUAGAUUUACCACAUAAUUUAGAGUUUUCUCAGGAAUGAGAUGGCUUGUAUUUGCUCACCAAAUUUCUGUUGUUUGCUUGUUCUGCCUGUUGAAAUGACUUUAGGACUAAACACCCAUCUCCUAAUGAGGCAAACCAGGCCAUUAAAAAUAUCUUCCUCAUGUUAAAACAGAAGGCUUUGUUUUAGUUAUCAUCCAUUGAUAACUAAACUCUAUGUUUUGUGUACGAGUCCCUGGCCACAUUCCACUUGGAAAAUCUUUUAAUCUUUAAAGACAGUUAUAAUGCUACCCCCCUAACUGGAUAUUCUUUGUUUAUUUUCUCUCUGACAUGAUUUUAACUCUUUUAGCAAUCUCAUAUGGACAAAUAUCCUUAUACUUUAUGGCACCUAGAACUUAAUACAAAAUUCCGGAGGUGUUCUGAUUAAUGCAAAACAGUCUGGCACUGUCCCCUUCAUUGUUCUAUUGUUCUAUUAAUACACUGUGAUCACAGAGUUCUCUGAGCACCCACAUUAAAGUGUUGCCUCUCUUGGAACUUACUACAAACCAAAACCUCAAAGUCUUUUUCACACAUGCUCCAAUGUGUGCUUUUUUCUACACCACCAAGCAAUUAACUCUGACCAAGUAAUUCAUUCUGACACUAUCUACCUGGAGAUAGCAUCAGAUCCCACAGGUUAAAGGCUCAGUUCCACAAGACUGCACUCACUUCAGACUCCAAUAGUAAGUCCAAGAUCUUACCUGUGUUUCUGACUCACUGGCUAUAAAUGGAUGUCCCCACGACCCACUCCUUGGGUUGGAUUAAUUUGCUAUAGCAGCUCACAGAACUCGGAGAAACACUUUAUUUACCAAAUUAUCAGUUUAUUAUAAAAGGAUACACUUUAUUUACCAAAUUAUCAGUUUAUUAUAAAAGGAUAUAAUUCAGGAACAGCCAGAUGGAAGAGAUGUGUAGGGCAAGGUAUGGGGAAAGAGGAACUUCCAUGCCCUCCUCAGGCGCAUCGCUCUCUGAGCACCUCCACGUGUUCACGAACCUGAAAGCUCACCAAUCCCCAUCCUUUUGAGUUUUUAUGGAGGUUUCGUUACAUAGUCAAGAUUGACUAAAUAAUUGACCAUUGGUGAUUGCUUCAACCUUCAGCCCCUCUCCCCUCCCAAGGGGUCAAGGGGAUUGGACUGUAAGUUUUGACCCUCUAAUCACUCCAUUGGUUCCCCUGGCAACCAGUUCCCCAUUCUUAGGUUAUCUAGAGGCUUUCCAAGAAGUCACCUCAUUAACAUAACAAAAGACGCUUUUGUGGCUCUCACCUCUUUUGAAAUUCCAAGGGUUUUAGGAGCUCUGAGACUUGGGUGCCUGGGAGAAAGACCAAAUAUUUAUUUCUCAUGAUAAAUCACAGUACCACACAAGCUAAGCCACAUACAUUGCUUCUCUCAGGUGUUCUCACUUUUCUUUCUUGGAUCCAAGGGUCAGUUCUUACAUUUAUCUUGGUUAAAUUUCAUCUUGUUCAUUUCGACCAAAUAAUGCCAGUUUUCAAUAUCAUUCUAGAUUCCGAAGCUGUCAUUCAAAGUACAAGUGCCCAAUGAAAUGUUAUUAAUGGAAUAAAUUAAGCAAAACUACCAGCAAUACAAAUAAAUGAUUCAUAAUUUCAUACCAAUAGGUUAAAAUUAUAUGACAAUACAAUUACAUCAUUGAAGUAAUGUCCUCUAUAUUUCAUUCAAGGAGAAUAAUUCAACUGAAGUAAAUAAAGCCAAGGUUAACACGAGACUCUUCCACUAAGAUUAUAUUAAUUUAGUGGUAGCAAGUAUGGUCUUGGAGUCAAACUUCUUGUGUUCAUAUAUUGGCAUCUCCUUUUGCUUAUUGAGUGAACUUGGCAAAGUUUACUUACUCUCUAACCCUCAGUUUCCUUGUCUGUAAAACUGGAAUAUACCUCUCAUAGGUUACGUUAAAUAUUAAAUGAGAUAACACAUAUGUUUAGUACAACAUGUGGCACAUGGUAAGUGUUCAGUAAAUGAUAGUUAUUAGAUUAUUAUUAUGUGAACAAUUUUUAAAUAAAAUCCUUCAACUCUUCUCGAAUCUAUUUAGUUGUUUUAAAUCUAGUCCACACUUUCCAAUCUCUUCCACUAAAAUCCCAUAAGAAAAUUUAUCAAGUGCCUUGCUAAUGCCUCUACACGUUCUACACAUUUGUCAUAUAUCUGCUAUAUAUUCCUGAUUAUUCAGUCAGGUAAGCCCAUGAAAGACAGACCUGAGCUCAGUCUGAUAUGACUUUUCCAAGUGUUUUAGGUAAUCUAUGUGAUAAUUAUGGAUUAUUAAUUAUUUGUUAAAUAUUCAUAGUCAUUUAAAUAUCCAUUCCAGAUUUUACCCGGAAUGGAUGUUGAGUUCAUAUGUUUGAAAUAAAUAUCCUUACAAGAAGUUUAAGUUAAUCCAAACUUUUCUUUCUAAAUAUUUAUUCUCACUUAUAGUUCUGUAGCCAAAAAUCUCGAAACUUAUUUUUAAUGACAGGAAGCAGCAAAAGAAAAGUACAGGUAGAAUUUUCUAAUGAUCUAUUAUUCAGCUUCCUCACACACAUUCUUUUUCAAUCAGAUUUCUUCUUCUAGAAACCAGAGUAAGUGUCUAACAUGAACAAAUAUGCAAACUAGCAGAGUUAAUUCGUAGAUUAAUUUCAGGAUAAUGAAUUCAUCCUUAAUGGAGCAAAUUCCAAGACUCAGGAAUAUUUAAUGCUGUGCACUCAGGUAAACAUAGAAAUAUGCCACGUAUACCAGUCUUGGCCAAUAAACCUCCAAAAAUCUGAGGAAAUAUCAUUGUCAUGUACAGUGGAGGGGGCCAAUUCAAAAAGUCUGGGUUUGGCCACUUUCACUUGACUUUAACAUUAUUUCAUCUUGAAGCCUUGUAUUUCUUUCAAUUGACUUUAACGUUUUUUCAUCUUAAAGCCUUCUCUGUAUUUCUCAUAUACGAAAUGAAAUGUGAUGUUUGGAUAAGACGGCAUUGAAACAAAUCUUAAUAUUAAUGACAAAAUUAAUAAUUAUUAUAUAAUUACUAAAGUCCCUUCCAGCUCCAAAAUGUUGUCUUUGAUUUUGACUUUCAUGGACAAAAUAACCCGAAACUAAUUCAGCACAAGUUAACAAACAUCUUUCUUUCUUUCUUUCUUCUUUAAAGAUUGUCCCUGAGCUAACAUCUGUUUCCAAUCUCCCUCUUUUUUUUUUCUUCUCCCCAAAACCCCCAAUACAUAGUUGUAUAUUCUAGUUGUUGGUCCUUCUAAUUCUGUUAUAUAGGACAUUGCCUCAGCAUGGCUUGAUGAGCAGUGCUAGGUCCAUGCCCAGGAUCUGAACUGGUGAAACCCUGGGUGACCAAAAUGGGGUGCCCAAGCUUAACCACUCAGCCCCAGGGCUGACCCCAACAUCUUUCAUCUUGUUCAACAUUGAUAUACCAAUGUUAAUGCAUCUUCCCUGACUACUUAGCAAAACACAUGAAUGUAUAAAGAUAGAGGAUCACAAUUACUGUUUGAGAGCAGACGAAAAGUGAAAAAAAAUUGAUUUUUUUUUUCGAGGAAGAUUACCCCUGAGCUAACAUCUGCCACCAAUCCUCCUCUUUUGCUGAGGAAGAUUGGCCCUGAGCUAACAUCUAUGCCCAUCUCUCUCUAUUUUAUAUGUGGGAUGCCUGCCACAGCAUGGCUUGAUGAGUGGUGCGUAAGUCCACACCUAGGGUUCCAAACCUGCGAACCCUGGGGCCACCAAAGCAAAGCGUACAAACUCAACCACCAUGCCACCAGCCCAGUCCUGAAUUGAUUCCUUAAUUGCAAAACAUCCCUCCAUUAGUCUCCGUUGUUCUUCUCUAGGGAUUCUCUACACUUCAAGAAGUAAAAUUCAAUACUCUCCCCUCCUCCUCUGACCUUGUCUGCUUCCGUCUCCUUCCCUAUGGCCUCUAUUUCCACCUCUGGCUGCAGAAAAAUUAGUAUUUGUGGAAAACAGUACAGCAUGAUUCAAUGAAGAUCUGGAUCAAAGUGAAAAUGGAUGAAUUGUCAUAACCAUGAUUUAUUCAAUCAAAAAGAAAAGAGAAGAGGGAGUAAUGUUGCAGAACCUUCAAUUCUGGUUGUUACUGACUGAAUUCUCUACAGAAGAUAAUGACUUCUCACUCUGGGAGAAAGAAAAUCUCAUCCAUUCAGUUCAUUUGAUCUACGACAAACUUCAGCUGAGGUAUCUAUGAAAGCUGCAAGGUGGGGAAGGGCCCUGAAUACUGCAGUAGCCUAUAGGGCUCUUUGUUUUUCUCAACCCUUAGAAACAUCCAGGUUAGAAGUUAAAUGAGAACACAAACCCUCCCUCCUGUGUGACUUAAUGACAUUGACACUUUAGAGUCAGCCGCACGAGUCAGUUGUACAGUCAUUCUACAAGUUCCAAUCAACUGAGAAAACGCAGAACAAAAAGCAGGAAUGAGACACAGAAAGAACAAUCAAUAAUCAGAUUAUCUUAAAGCAUUAAAAAUUGUUCAACUGAUAUUUGGCUGAUGUCCCAGACAAAGUUCAAGCCAGUACUUAAUAAUUGUCAGAUACGUAGCCUUACCUAGAGUUCAUUUGCCAACACGCUUGAUAUUUCUUCUUCAAGCUAAGAGUAAAUACUGUUCAUCUACAAAUGUAAAGAAACAAGUGAAGAAAUGUGAAAGCAAUCCACUGAUAUCAAAAAUCAUUGGGAAAAUCACAAAAUGGAUGGUGUGGAUAGGCCAAAUUCUCAUUUAACCCUCCGUAUUGAUUUAAUGAGCACAUUUUUGUGGAGCAUUUACUCUAUAUUAUGCACUCUGCUAUGACUCAUGAAUAAUUGGUAAGAUAAGGACCCUGUUCUUAAAAGUUUACAAUCUACCAAAGAGCCUAAUGUCUCCUAUGAAAUACCACUGGCGAAAUUGGCAUUUACGCUUUGCUAUAAAUUAGAAAAAAAUUAUUGACCUAGAUGAGGCUUUUGGGUGGCAAGAACCAGAGACUCAAACAUAGUGAGUUAAGAAGAAGAGAAAAUACUAUAAAAAUCAGUGUAAUCUCUGAGACCGUGGUAACAGGAGCACAGCCAGGCUGACCAAGAGCGAGGGCUAGAAAGGGGAAGCUUUUAGGAACAAAGGCUGUUCUCUAGAAGUGAAAAUCUAGCUACCUUUUUCCAAUUGUUCUUAGUAAACCUGCUUCUUGCUAAAGACCAGUUCUCUCUCUUUAUCUCUCAGUCCAUAUUUUCCCAAAGUGGGUACCCAAAUUGUUCCCUCAGUCUCCCAUUCAGCCCUGGGACGUUAAGUUUGCGUGUCCUUCAAUGUUCGACACCCAUGAUUGAUCAGAAAUGCUGAGGUCCCAUUCCAAAAUCAGGGGAGAGAAUAUAAUUGGCCCAGCUGAGCAUACGUUUCCCUGCUUUCCAGUUAUCUGUAGUGAGGGGUAGAGUCAUGUAUUACAAAUGUGGCUUCAGGGACUCACCCCACUGUGGACGGCAGUUCUCCUGGAAGGGAAAAGAACCAGUCAGACACCGGAAGUUGUUAGAGUGUCAUGUCCACUCUCCACAACUUUUGGCAAAUAUUUUCUUUGAUAAAUAACUUAUUAUAUAUAUAGUGAUGUGCAGAAUUGAUGUAGGCUACUAAGAAAAGAGAAUAAAUGUAAACCAUAAAUUGGUUAAAUAAAGUAUAUUUAAUUUCCUUAUAUAUAAUUUUCAGGCUGCUGAUCAAAUGUGAAGUCAUCCAAAGAUGAAAUCUCAUACAUUUCAUAAGCUAUUAGUGGAAACACCUUUAUUCUAAAAGAUUAGAUUAUGUUUAAACAUAAGAUUAAUGGCUAACAAAGAUGCAUUUGCGAUUAUUUCAAACUCAGAAUAUGUUCAUAUGUUCUAGAACAGAGAGAUAUUUUUUCUUGAAUGCCUUGAUGACAUACACUAAAAUAUUUUAUAUCUGUAUAACCACUACUUUGUAUAUAUCUGAAUAAAGUGUUCAUCACAGAUUAUCAUAUUAGAAUGACUUAUUUUUAUGCAAUGUUUUUACAUAUCUUUCUCUCACUAGUUUGUAAUCUUUUUGAGAAUAGUGCCUGUAACCUUCAAAAUGAGUUAACUGUAAAUAAGUAAUUAUGCUGGUUUAUAUAGAUUCAUUUACUUUUUCCAAAUUACUACAUGUUAUUCUUUAUUUAUCUAGAGGAGAAAGUACCCAGAAACUUCAACCAUCUCUGAUAGUUAUGAUCCUAAAAGUCAGGGAGAAAAACACUCUUGUCAAUUCUAGUGACACAUAAAAUUAAUAAAGCACAUACAUUUAAUGUGCUUUGUUUCAGUGGAGAUGAGUGGAGGUGAGAAGGAGUGGAACUCCUUACCUGUUUUACUUGCUUAGUGUUAUGUUUCAAGUGAUCAGUCUUUUAGGUAUUUGAACUGUAUUUGAACCUGUUCUGGGUUACAGUCAGGCACCAGUGGAGUUAAAACUGUAGUAAAAGCAGUAAAAGAUUGGACUUGAGGAUCAAUAUUUAAAAGUUGGUUUAGAACAUUUAAAUUAGAUUUUUAAAAGUCUUAGUCAUAUUUCACAUGUUAAAAUAAUUGCUAACAAAUAAAAAUAGCUUUACUUUUGAUGUUUUAUUAUCCAAUAUAUCGUACCAACUAUAAUAUUUAAGAGCUAAAAAGAAACCAUUUGAGAAACGGGUUUGUUGCAUAGGUAUUUAAGUGGAAACUUUACCUGUAGCUUAGUUGAAGCCCUAAGAGGCUAGUCACAGCUUACAACAGCAGUAACUUCUUCUCUGAGGAUCCCUCAGUCUUCAUUUUUGAACUAAUCUGUUCUAAGUUUAGAAACUGGAAAUGGAAAAUAGGACGAGGAAUAUCAAGUUAAAGUAAUCAUUUAAUAUUUUAAUUUUCUCAUAUAGGGAACAACAUAUAUUUUGCAUUUAAAUACUAUUUAUAAUUCUGAUUAUGUAGAAUUUUUUUUAAAAAGCAAAGAAUAUAAAUAACUAGAAUGGAAUUUCAUUUUGUUCCAUUCUUUUAUAAGAAAAAUGUAAAUUAAAUUAAGCUGACAUCAGGAUCAUAUUAAGAAAAGAACCCAUAGGAGAAGCAAUGAAGCGUGUAGAAACGAUUCCUUCUCUGCUCUGUCGGCACAGAACACUGUAAAAUGACAAGCAUUGCUCAAAGGACGUUGAAAAUCCAAAAGUGCCUUUAAAUAAUCAAAAUACGUUAGAUUAAAGUCGACAUAGUUUACUCUCCAGUACGCAUUUAUUUUUUCCAAUAUAUGUACCUAUUAUGAAAAUAUAGCAAUAACACAGAAAAAAUAAAUGUCUUUUACUCUUAUUACUUCUUAAUAAUUACGGUUAAUUUUUUGGUGAUAUCUUUUCAAUGUGCUUUCUCUGUCUAGUCUUUAGGAUAAAAAACCCCCUAAUUUUUAGAGAUCUUACAUAAAGCGUUCUAUGUCCUGCUUUCAUUGUGCUCUACUUUUUUCACUGAACAUUGUAUCAUGUGUUUUUCAUAAGCAUUAUUUUUAAUGGCUGUAUGUUAUUUUUUUGAGUGUAAAGACAACAGACUUCUUAACUGUGCCUCUAUGUUUUGAU